This is an RNA transcript of Bombus huntii, 2326 nucleotides long. RefSeq lists it as uncharacterized. The transcript has 4 exons. NCBI's taxonomy places the organism in Eukaryota, Metazoa, Arthropoda, Insecta, Hymenoptera, Apidae. The record is from RefSeq and is a predicted model, not a curated record.
UCUUAUCGAUAGAAAAAGAUAUCGAUAACCUAUCGAAGGACUUUUUGAGUUGUGUCUUGUGUCGGUUGUAUCCGCGAUCGUUGUGUCUGUCUACUGGAAUUUUGUGAACUAGAACAUAAAAUAAAAGAAAGAAAUUAACAAAAUGUCAGUUCCAAUUGAUUAUAUUGAUUUAACGACUGACCUACCAGAUCAACCUUCAAAAUUACGAAAUAAGGAUGAAAUAUUUGUUAAUUUAACAAUAACAAAGUCACGAAAGCGUGGUUCGAAAAAACAAGUUGCACAACUUGAAGAUUCUAUCAUAGAAAUAACAGAUAAUAAUAGAUGUAAAGAUGUACAAACAAUGGAAAUCAUAGAUCUAGAUAAUAUCAAUAGUCCAAAAGAAACUGGAAUAUGUUAUGCUAAUGAUUCUGGAGAAGAAAAGUUAGUUGUAUUGACCUGUCCAAUAUGUUAUGAACAGUUGUCUUCUAAAAUGAAACCUAUGUCUACUCCUUGUGGACAUAUAUUUUGUACAAAAUGUAUAACUCUAGCUCUACGAGUACCUAAAGUUAAGAAGUGUCCAACAUGUCAAAGAAUUAUUAAAUUACAAUCUUGUACCCGUUUAUAUUUUUAAACAUAUAGAUUUUGGUUCUCAUAUUUAUGUACUUUUUAUAUUAGUACUAUCAUAAAUAUGUAAUUUGCCCUAAGUUUUGAGUAUUUUAAAGUGUAUUUUAUGAUAUUUCUGUAGUUAUAUAAAUUCCAAUACUUAAUCUCUAAUUAUGUAUAGCAUAUGCUGUUAUUUUUGUAUCUAUUCGUUAUAAUAAUUUAAGACUUAAUACACUUUUAAUUUAUAAGAAAAAGAAAUUAAAGCAUUUGAUGAAAUCUAAAAGUGUAUCUAUUUCAAUACAUCUUGAUUUAAAGGUCAUUCAUUGUUUACAUUUUGUUGUUACCUUGAAAUAUCUCCAACAUAUUUAACAUAACAUGAACUAUUUUAUAUCCUUUGUGUAUCUGGUUUUAUGAAAUUUAUUGACAUGAUUUGAUGUAUUCUCUCGAUUAGUAUAAUUAAAAUUUCAAAAUGUUUAAGACAAAGAAAAUACAAAAAGAAAAUCAUAUGUCAUUUUUCGUUGGAGGCACUGCAAUUGGAAUGGCUGCUGGUCUAUUAGCUGGAAGAUUAUUUUCAAAUACAUCAAUUAAAAAAAAUAAAAAAUUUGAACCUGAAAUUCUUAUCAACAAAAAUAUGAAAAAAUAUUCUCAGGAUGAUAAUAUUUAUGAUGUAUAUUUUAAUAAAAAUCAUCGUAAUAUACGUUCUAAAAGUGCUUCUCGAUACAAUGAGAAAAAUCACAUAGAGAAACCAGUGUCACCAAUUUCUUUAAAUAAAUUUGAUGAUAAAUUAAAAAAUGAUAUUAAUAAUAUUAAUUCAAGUUGCAAAUGCAACAAAAAUGAACAUAAAGUCUUUCAUGAUAACAAAAGUCAUACUCCAUAUAAUAUAAGUAUAGAAAAUAACAAUGAAUACAAUGCACUUACUGAUAUUUUUCCAGAAAACACAAAGGAAGAAACAAAGAACAAUAAUUAUUUUAAAUUAGAAAAUACUAAACAAGAAUCUUCAUAUGCUGUCCAAUCAGAAAAUAAUGUAAGUGUUAAAGAUGAAAAUUGUUUGAAAACAUUAAAUGUUGAAAAAGAAGCGUCAAAAGCUGCAAAAAUUUAUGAAAGUAUGCAGUUAACAGACAUAUUUAACAGUUUAUCUAUUAAUUUCUGUGAAAACAGUACUAUUUAUAAGAAUCUCCCAAAUAUAACAAAUUCUGGGAGUGGUUCAAAUAUUUCAUCAAGUUACACUGAUAAUGCCAGUAAUAUGGCUACAUAUGAUACUACAUAUUCCGAAAAUGCAGGACAAAGUAACAUUUUUAAUUUUUCUUCUAUUGAAGACUUUUAUGAAACUGACAUAAUCUCGUCUACAAAACAGAAUAAUUUCAAUGAUAUCUAAAAGUUUUUAAAUGUAAUAACUAGAGUGCAGAUUUUUAUGGGUUUUUAAAAAAUUUUUAAAGUACAAAAUUACAAAACAUGAUCAUAAUAUGAAAAAUAUAUAAACUGUCCAAAGUACAAUGUUUUCUAUAAUGCUCGGUAGAUAAAACAAUUGGCCACAGAGAUCCUUUAAUGUGAAAUAUCAAGUUAAGCCAUAUUAAUUCUUUAAAAUUCUUUAAAAAUCCGCAAUCUAGUAAUAACUAUUACAAAGUUAAGUUUUUAAACUAAUAACAAUAUUGUUAUUUAGUUGGAAUAUUUUCUUUUUUAUUACAUGUAUAUUGACAAAAAAAUAUUUUGUAUAAUGAGAGAAUAAAUAAAUGAUUUAAUACAA